This 337-nucleotide ribosomal RNA is filed under the name uncultured Pseudomonadota bacterium. Its description in RNAcentral is "bacterial SSU rRNA". It matches the Rfam family "Bacterial small subunit ribosomal RNA", at positions 29 to 351 of the family's 1533-position model. Lineage: Bacteria; Pseudomonadati; Pseudomonadota. The record is from RNAcentral.
AGCGAACGUUAGCGGCGCGCCUAACACAUGCAAGUCGCACGAGAAAGGGCUUCGGCCCCGGUAAAGUGGCGCACGGGUGCGUAACACGUAGGCAAUCUUCCCUCGGGCGGGGGAUAACGUUUCGAAAGAGACGCUAAUACCGCAUAAGACCACGAGCACUGCGGUGCUUGCGGUCAAAGCUGGCCUCUUCUUGAAAGCUAGCACCUGAGGACGAGCCUGCGGCCCAUCAGCUAGUUGGUAGGGUAAUGGCCUACCAAGGCGAAGACGGGUAGCUGGUCUGAGAGGAUGAUCAGCCACACUGGAACUGAAACACGGUCCAGACUCCUACGGGAGGCUG